AAAGACUUGACGGUGCUUUAAAGCAACCUAGAGGAGCCUGUCUAAUAACCGAUACCCCACGAUUAACCCAACCUGUUCUUGCCAAACAGUCUAUAUACCGCCGUCGCCAGCUUACCUUGUGAAAGAAACAAAGUAAACAAAACAGGACACCCCUAACACGACAGGUCGAGGUGUAACCAAUGAACAGGCCAAAGAUGGGCUACAUUUUCUAAUAAAGAACAUACGAAUAAACUAUGAAAAAGAAACUGAAGGUGGAUUUAGCAGUACAUUAAGGACAAAACACUUAAUAGAAACCAACGCAAUGAAGUGCGUACACACCGCCCGUCAUCCCUG
Molecule: ribosomal RNA, 333 nt
Filed under: Psomophis obtusus
Lineage: Eukaryota; Metazoa; Chordata; Lepidosauria; Squamata; Dipsadidae
Description: partial small subunit ribosomal RNA
Source: RNAcentral